CCUACGGGAGGCAGCAGUGGGGAAUAUUGGGCAAUGGGCGCAAGCCUGACCCAGCAACGCCGCGUGUAGGAAGAAGGCUUUCGGGUUGUCAACUUCUUUUCUCAGGGACGAAGAAAGUGACGGUACCUGAAGAAUAAGCCACGGCUAACUACGUGCCAGCAGCCGCGGUAAUACGUAGGUGGCAAGCGUUAUCCGGAUUUCCUGGGUGUAAAGGGCGUGUAGGCGGGACUGCAAGUCAGAUGUGAAAACCACGGGCUCAACCUGUGGCCUGCAUUUGAAACUGUAGUUCUUGAGUACUGGAGAGGCAGACGGAAUUCCUAGUGUAGCGGUGAAAUGCGUAGAUAUUAGGAGGAACACCAGUGGCGAAGGCGGUCUGCUGGACAGCAACUGACGCUGAGGCGCGAAAGCGUGGGGAGCAAACAGGAUUAGAUACCCUUGUAGUC
RNAcentral lists this ribosomal RNA (443 nucleotides) under uncultured bacterium. RNAcentral describes it as "partial 16S ribosomal RNA". It matches the Rfam family "Bacterial small subunit ribosomal RNA", at positions 338 to 795 of the family's 1533-position model. The record is from RNAcentral.